RNAcentral lists this long non-coding RNA (1158 nucleotides) under Cyanistes caeruleus (blue tit). Its description in RNAcentral is "lncRNA (ENSCCEG00000023791.1)". The record is from RNAcentral. Lineage: Eukaryota; Metazoa; Chordata; Aves; Passeriformes; Paridae.
GAAGGUGGUGGAGUCACCAUGCCUGGAGGUGUUUAAGGAAAGACUGGUUGUGGCACUCAGUGCCACGGUCUGUCUGACACGGUGGUGUUUGGUCAUGGGUUGAAUUCAAUGAUCUCAGAGGUUAUUUCCAACCUAAUUGAUUUUAGCAUUCUAUGACUCAUUUUCAUGUGGUUGUAGACCAGAGGAUCACAGAAAGGUUAGGCUCCAGGGUGCCUUUGUGGUAUGGUCUGGUCCAACCCCACUUCUCAAACCACUGCCAAUUAGAACAGGUCAUUCAGGACCACAGAAUGACAGAACUGUAGAAUGGAUUGGGUCAGAAGGAACUUUUAAAGACCAUCUAGUUUCAAAUGUCCUGCCAUGGGCAGGAAUGUGCCACCCACUAGAUCAGGUCACUCGGGACCCCACCCAGCCUGGCCUCGAACACUGCCAGGGACGGCGAUGUCACCAGCUUUCGAGUUACCUCCAGAGGCAGAGACACCACAACCUCUCUGGGCAAACCCGUGCCGCCAGCACUUGACCACCCCCACAAGACCAGGAAAAUUUUCAUUUAAAUAAUUUCAGGAGGCUCUCGCUGCAAGGGCAAAGCCGGCCGGUCCCCGGGGACCAGCGGGAGUUCAGCGGGCCACCGGGUCCGCAGGGCCGGGCGCGGCUGUGCCUCGGGGGGGCGGAGGAGCGGGGCGGGGGCGUCCGCCCCCUUUUCCCCCCUCACGGCCUCCCACGCGCGCACCUGCGCAGGCGCGCGNCCCUCCGUGCCUCCUUCCUUCAUCCAUCCUUCCUCCCAGCCGCCGGGGGACAGCCCAGACUGGAAAAGAACCAAGAGCACCAAAGCAACUUAAAGACAUCCUGUCCUCCGUAGGACUGAGGUACAAAGAAAAGCUUGCACAAUUUCUGGAUGGAGUGAGCCUUCCAGUCGCCAGGACUACCAGUGCUGAAGUCACAGGGAGGAAAAAAAAGGAGGAAAGAAAAUCCUGCCUCUGCCAGCAUUACUAAUCAAGUACUAAUGGUUUUGACAUGAACAUUUUCUAUGGCAGCUGAUGCAUUUCUAAACUAAUACAUGUAUUCCUUAAUACUAUUUCCUAUAUUAUUAUGUCUGGCAUUAUCUCUUUAGAAAUAAUACAGUUUUGCUACUAUAACAGAAUAAAAUACUACACAUCCACA